CCUACGGGGGGCAGCAGUGAGGAAUAUUGGUCAAUGGGCGGGAGCCUGAACCAGCCAAGCCGCGUGAGGGAAGAAGGUACAGCGUAUCGUAAACCUCUUUUGUCAGGGAACAAAGGCGGGGACUAGUCCCCGGAUGAGGGUACCUGAAGAAAAAGCAUCGGCUAACUCCGUGCCAGCAGCCGCGGUAAUACGGAGGAUGCGAGCGUUAUCCGGAUUUAUUGGGUUUAAAGGGUGCGCAGGCGGCCUGUUAAGUCAGAGGGAAAAGCCCGGGGCUAAACCCCGGCGAGCCGUUGAAACUGGCGGGCUGGAGUUGGAGAGAGGUACGCGGAAUGCGCGGUGUAGCGGUGAAAUGCUUAGAUAUCGCGCAGAACCCCGAUUGCGAAGGCAGCGUACCGGCUCCACACUGACGCUGAGGCACGAAAGCGUGGGUAUCGAACAGGAUUAGAUACCCCAGUAGUC
This 459-nucleotide ribosomal RNA is filed under the name uncultured bacterium. Its description in RNAcentral is "partial 16S ribosomal RNA". It matches the Rfam family "Bacterial small subunit ribosomal RNA", at positions 338 to 795 of the family's 1533-position model. The record is from RNAcentral.